CCAGGGGUUGAGGUGACUGGCCAGUAUGAGAGGGAGAAGGCUGGGUUCUCAUGGAUCGAAGUGACCUUCAAGAACCCCCUGGUAUGGGUUCACGCAUCCCCUGAACACGUGGUGGUGACUCGGAACCGAAGAAGCUCUGCGUACAAGUGGAAGGAGACGCUAUUCUCAGUGAUGCCCGGGCCAGUUUUACCAGGAGGUGCUCUGGGGAUCUCCAGCAGCAUCAGAUGACGGCAGACGCACGCUGAGGGUUCAGGGCAAUGACCACUCUGCCACCAGAGAGCGCAGGCUGGAUUACCAGGAGGGGCCCCCGGGAGUGGAGAUUUCCUGCUGGUCUGUGGAGCUGUAGUUCUGAUGGAAGGAGCUGUGCCCACCCUGUACACUUGGCUUCCCCCUGCAACUGCAGGGCCGCUUCUGGGGCCUGGACCACCAUGGGGAGGAAGAGUCCCACUCAUUACAAAUAAAGAAAGGUGGUGUGAGCCUGGGA
Molecule: long non-coding RNA, 484 nt
Filed under: Homo sapiens (human)
Lineage: Eukaryota; Metazoa; Chordata; Mammalia; Primates; Hominidae
Description: HSALNT0054737
Source: RNAcentral